AGUGAACGCUGGCGGUAGGCCUAACACAUGCAAGUCGAACGGCAGCACAGUAAGAGCUUGCUAUUACGGGUGGCGAGUGGCGGACGGGUGGGGAAUACAUCGGAAUCUACUUUUUCGUGGGGGAUAACGUAGGGAAACUUACGCGAAUACCGCAUACGACCUACGGGUGAAAGCAGGGGAGCUUCGGACCUUGCGCGAGUGAAUGAGCCGAUGUCGGAUGAGCUAGUUGGAGGGGUAAAGGCCCACCAAGGCGACGAUCCGUAGCUGGUCUGAGAGGAUGAUCGGCGACACUGGAACUGAGACACGGACCAGGCGCCUACGGGAGGGAGCAGUGGGGAAUAUUGGACAAUGGGCGCAAGCCUGAUCCAGCCAUACCGCGUGGGUGAAGAAGGCCUUCGGGUUGUAAAGCCCUUUUGUUGGGAAAGAAAAGCAGCAGGUUAAUACCCCGCUGUUCUGACGGUAACCAAAGAAUGAGAACCGGCUAAAUUCGUG
This 492-nucleotide ribosomal RNA is filed under the name uncultured bacterium. RNAcentral's name for it is "partial 16S ribosomal RNA". It matches the Rfam family "Bacterial small subunit ribosomal RNA", at positions 29 to 507 of the family's 1533-position model. The record is from RNAcentral.